GCCUGGUUGGCUUAGUCAGUUAAGCAUCUGACUUCGACUCAGGUUUGUGAGUUGGAGCCCCACAUCAGGCU
RNAcentral lists this transfer RNA (71 nucleotides) under Felis catus (domestic cat). It matches the Rfam family "tRNA". From Rfam's summary of the family: Transfer RNA (tRNA) molecules are approximately 80 nucleotides in length. Their secondary structure includes four short double-helical elements and three loops (D, anti-codon, and T loops). Further hydrogen bonds mediate the characteristic L-shaped molecular structure. tRNAs have two regions of fundamental functional importance: the anti-codon, which is responsible for specific mRNA codon recognition, and the 3' end, to which the tRNAs corresponding amino acid is attached (by aminoacyl-tRNA synthetases). tRNAs cope with the degeneracy of the genetic code in two manners: having more than one tRNA (with a specific anti-codon) for a particular amino acid; and 'wobble' base-pairing, i.e. permitting non-standard base-pairing at the 3rd anti-codon position. RNAcentral also lists the same sequence under 2 other names. Lineage: Eukaryota; Metazoa; Chordata; Mammalia; Carnivora; Felidae. The record is from Rfam by way of RNAcentral.